RNAcentral lists this ribosomal RNA (429 nucleotides) under Chloroflexota bacterium. Its description in RNAcentral is "Chloroflexi bacterium partial 16S ribosomal RNA". It matches the Rfam family "Bacterial small subunit ribosomal RNA", at positions 355 to 776 of the family's 1533-position model. Lineage: Bacteria; Bacillati; Chloroflexota. The record is from RNAcentral.
UGGGGAAUAUUGCACAAUGGGCGCAAGCCUGAUGCAGCCAUGCCGCGUGUGUGAAGAAGGCCUUCGGGUUGUAAAGCACUUUCAGCGGGGAGGAAGGCGGUGAGGUUAAUAACCUCACCGAUUGACGUUACCCGCAGAAGAAGCACCGGCUAACUCCGUGCCAGCAGCCGCGGUAAUACGGAGGGUGCAAGCGUUAAUCGGAAUUACUGGGCGUAAAGCGCACGCAGGCGGUCUGUCAAGUCGGAUGUGAAAUCCCCGGGCUCAACCUGGGAACUGCAUUCGAAACUGGCAGGCUAGAGUCUUGUAGAGGGGGGUAGAAUUCCAGGUGUAGCGGUGAAAUGCGUAGAGAUCUGGAGGAAUACCGGUGGCGAAGGCGGCCCCCUAGACGAAGACUGACGCUCAGGUGCGAAAGCGUGGGGAGCAAACAGG